This is a non-coding RNA of Schistosoma mansoni, 45 nucleotides long. NCBI's taxonomy places the organism in Eukaryota, Metazoa, Platyhelminthes, Trematoda, Strigeidida, Schistosomatidae. The record is from Rfam.
AUUCGGAUGACGAGUCCCAAAUAGGAUGGAACGCGUGUCCUAAAU